CGCACAUUGCGCCCGCCAGUAUUCUGGCGGGCAUGCCUGUUCGAGCGUCAUUUCAACCCUCAAGCCCCCACGCUUGGUGUUGGGGACCGGACCCGGGAGGAGAGAUCCCCCUGGGCGCCGCCCCCGAAAUUCAGUGGCGGUCCCGCCGCAGCCUCCUCUGCGCAGUAGCUCUAACGAACCUCGCACCGGAGAGCGGCAGGCCCACGCCGUAAAACCCCAACUUUCUGAAUUGUUGACCUCGGAUCAGGUAGGAAUACCCGCUGAACUUAA
RNAcentral lists this unclassified non-coding RNA (270 nucleotides) under [Paecilomyces] niphetodes. RNAcentral's name for it is "Paecilomyces niphetodes partial contains 5.8S ribosomal RNA, internal transcribed spacer 2, and large subunit ribosomal RNA". The record is from RNAcentral. Lineage: Eukaryota; Fungi; Ascomycota; Sordariomycetes; Hypocreales; Clavicipitaceae.